Molecule: ribosomal RNA, 253 nt
Filed under: uncultured bacterium
Lineage: Bacteria
Description: partial 16S ribosomal RNA
Rfam family: Bacterial small subunit ribosomal RNA
Source: RNAcentral
UACGCAGGGGGCUAGCGUUGCUCGGAAUCACUGGGCGUAAAGCGCACGUAGGCGGAUUGCUAAGUCAGGGGUGAAAUCCUGGAGCUCAACUCCAGAACUGCCUUUGAUACUGGCGACCUUGAGUCCGGGAGAGGUGAGUGGAACUGCGAGUGUAGAGGUGAAAUUCGUAGAUAUUCGGAGGAACACCAGUGGCGAAGGCGGCUCACUGGUCCGGUACUGACGCUGAGGUGCGAAAGCGUGGGGAGCAAACAGG